AAAUUGAAGAGUUUGAUCAUGGCUCAGAUUGAACACUGGCGGCAGGCCUAACACAUGCAAGUCGAACGGUAACAGGAAGCAGCUUGCUGCUUUGCUGACGAGUGGCGGACGGGUGAGUAAUGUCUGGGAAACUGCCUGAUGGAGGGGGAUAACUACUGGAAACGGUGGCUAAUACCGCAUAACGUCGCAAGACCAAAGAGGGGGACCUUCGGGCCUCUUGCCAUCAGAUGUGCCCAGAUGGGAUU
RNAcentral lists this ribosomal RNA (245 nucleotides) under Salmonella enterica. Its description in RNAcentral is "partial 16S ribosomal RNA". It matches the Rfam family "Bacterial small subunit ribosomal RNA", at positions 1 to 242 of the family's 1533-position model. The record is from RNAcentral. Lineage: Bacteria; Pseudomonadati; Pseudomonadota; Gammaproteobacteria; Enterobacterales; Enterobacteriaceae.